UACGUAGGGGGCAAGCGUUAUCCGGAUUUAUUGGGCGUAAAGCGUGCGCAGGCGGUUUAUUAAGUCUAAGAUUAAAGCCCGGAGCUUAACUCCGGUUCGUCUUAGAAACUGGUAGACUUGAGUAUGGUAGAGGCAAAUGGAAUUCCUAGUGUAGCGGUGGAAUGCGUAGAUAUUAGGAGGAACACCAGUGGCGAAGGCGAUUUGCUGGGCCAUUACUGACGCUCAUGCACGAAAGCGUGGGGAGCAAAUAGG
RNAcentral lists this ribosomal RNA (252 nucleotides) under uncultured bacterium. RNAcentral describes it as "partial 16S ribosomal RNA". It matches the Rfam family "Bacterial small subunit ribosomal RNA", at positions 524 to 776 of the family's 1533-position model. The record is from RNAcentral.